GAUUGACGUUAACUACAGAAGAAGCACCGGCUAACUCCGUGCCAGCAGCCGCGGUAAUACGGAGGGUGCGAGCGUUAAUCGGAAUAACUGGGCGUAAAGGGCACGCAGGCGGUGACUUAAGUGAGGUGUGAAAGCCCCGGGCUUAACCUGGGAAUUGCAUUUCAUACUGGGUCGCUAGAGUACUUUAGGGAGGGGUAGAAUUCCACGUGUAGCGGUGAAAUGCGUAGAGAUGUGGAGGAAUACCGAAGGCGAAGGCAGCCCCUUGGGAAUGUACUGACGCUCAUGUGCGAAAGCGUGGGGAGCAAACAGGAUUAGAUACCCUGGUAGUCCACGCUGUAAACGAUGUCGAUUUGGGGGUUGAGCUUUAAGCUUGGCGCCCGUAGCUAACGUGAUAAAUCGACCGCCUGGGGAGUACGGCCGCAAGGUUAAAACUCAAAUGAAUUGACGGGGCCCGCACAAG
This 460-nucleotide ribosomal RNA is filed under the name uncultured bacterium. RNAcentral describes it as "bacterial SSU rRNA". It matches the Rfam family "Bacterial small subunit ribosomal RNA", at positions 467 to 929 of the family's 1533-position model. The record is from RNAcentral.